This 709-nucleotide long non-coding RNA is filed under the name Bos indicus x Bos taurus (hybrid cattle). RNAcentral's name for it is "lncRNA (ENSBIXG00000022108.1)". The record is from RNAcentral. Lineage: Eukaryota; Metazoa; Chordata; Mammalia; Artiodactyla; Bovidae.
AUCUACCAUAGAGGUCUACCCUAGAGGCUCAGUAUGACUUGACCAUGCAUAAACCAAGUUUCAGCAGAGCCUAGUUACAUCUUGGGCUUCUGCAAACUGAGAUUGUCAAUGGCAUGUUCCUGAAGCUCACCCUUAAUUGGAUCCUGAAAAUAUUUAUUAUUGAUCAGAUGCUGUCAGGUUUUUUUUUUUUUUUUUUUUUUAAGGUCCCUAAUUGAUAAACCUUUGGUUGAUUGCUGUGGUUGAAGAAAAAUGUCUACCUUUCCUCAAGUACAAAGUUUGGAAUUACAUUUGGAAAAUGAUUGGAAAAUUGUUGUGAGCCUGAGGGUGUGGCAACACGAGAAAUCAAUAGAAAACAGAAUCUUUGAAGUUGACAGCAUCUCUGAUGAAAUCUUCAAGGAGUUCCGCAUGAGAGGCCUCUGAAGACUGAAGAUGCCAAUGAUGACAGAGAUGUUCAUGGAGAAACUGGGCAUUCAGAAAGGAACAAUGCAGGUUUUCCAAGCAAGGGAAAAGAUAUGAGCAGAGGUAUGAAUGGGAAAUAUAUAAUUGAUCUUUUGCAGUACAAUUACAUUUCGUUUUAUUGGUGUGGAAAUGUGUAAUUGUGAUUUGGGGAAGAGGGUUUGGGAUUGGGAUUAUAUUAAUGUGUAGGACGUUGAUUGCCAGGUCAAGGAAUUGAAAUAAAGGGAUGCCAUUGAAAGUUUUUAAAAAUAAU